GUAGUUAGCCGGGGCUUCCUCCUAUGGUACCGUCAUUUGUUUCUUCCCAUAGGACAGAAUUUUACAAUCCGAAGACCUUCUUCAUUCACGCGGCAUUGCUGGGUCAGGCUUUCGCCCAUUGCCCAAUAUUCCCCACUGCUGCCUCCCGUAGGAGUCUGGGCCGUGUCUCAGUCCCAGUGUGGCCGUUCAACCUCUCAGUCCGGCUACCCAUCGCGGUCUUGGUGAGCCGUUACCUCACCAACUAACUAAUGGGACGCGAGCCCAUCUUUAAGCGGAUUUCUCCUUUAACUCUAUGGUCAUGCGACCUCUGAGUCUUAUGCGGUAUUAGCACUGAUUUCUCAGUGUUGUCCCCCUCUUAAAGCCAGGUUGCUCACGCGUUACUCACCCGUCCGCCACUAAGCUAUCUCGGCGUCUCUUCUUUGUGCAAGCACUCCAAUUUGACAGUGAGAUUGCUCCGUUCGACUUGCAUGUGUUAGGCAUGCCGCCAGCGUUCGUCCUGAGCCAGAAUCGAACCCUGA
Molecule: ribosomal RNA, 518 nt
Filed under: uncultured bacterium
Lineage: Bacteria
Description: partial 16S ribosomal RNA
Source: RNAcentral